RNAcentral lists this ribosomal RNA (278 nucleotides) under Rhodospirillaceae bacterium. Its description in RNAcentral is "partial 23S ribosomal RNA". It matches the Rfam family "Bacterial large subunit ribosomal RNA", at positions 2633 to 2925 of the family's 2925-position model. The record is from RNAcentral. Lineage: Bacteria; Pseudomonadati; Pseudomonadota; Alphaproteobacteria; Rhodospirillales; Rhodospirillaceae.
GGUCCCUAUCUGCCGUGGGUGUUCGAGACUUGAGAGGAUCUGCCCCUAGUACGAGAGGACCGGGGUGGACGGACCUCUGGUGGACCUGUUGUGGCGCCAGCCGCAUAGCAGGGUAGCUAAGUCCGGCCGGGAUAACCGCUGAAAGCAUCUAAGCGGGAAACCCCCCUCAAAACCAGGUCUCGCUUGAGAGCCGUGGAAGACCACCACGUUGAUAGGCCGGGUGUGGAAGCGCAGUAAUGUGUGAAGCUGACCGGUACUAAUGGCUCGAUUGAUCUUGA